Molecule: ribosomal RNA, 855 nt
Filed under: uncultured beta proteobacterium
Lineage: Bacteria; Pseudomonadati; Pseudomonadota; Betaproteobacteria
Description: bacterial SSU rRNA
Rfam family: Bacterial small subunit ribosomal RNA
Source: RNAcentral
UGGCGGAUGCUUUACACAUGCAAGUCGAACGGCAGCAUAGAGAGCUUGCUCUCUGAUGGCGAGUGGCGAACGGGUGAGUAAUAUAUCGGAACGUGCCUAGUAAUGGGGAACAACUAAUCGAAAGGUUAGCUAAUACCGCAUACGACCUACGGGUGAAAGCAGGGGAUCUUCGGACCUUGCGUUAUUAGAGCGGCCGAUAUCUGAUUAGGUAGUUGGUGGGGUAAAGGCCUACCAAGCCGACGAUCAGUAGCUGGUCUGAGAGGACGAUCAGCCACACUGGAACUGAGACACGGUCCAGACUCCUACGGGAGGCAGCAGUGGGGAAUUUUGGACAAUGGGGGAAACCCUGAUCCAGCCAUUCCGCGUGAGUGAAGAAGGCCUUCGGGUUGUAAAGCUCUUUCGCAAGAGAAGAAAUCUUACUAUCUAAUAAAUAGUGAGGAUGACGGUAUCUUGACAAGAAGCACCGGCUAACUAUGUGCCAGCAGCCGCGGUAAUACAUAGGGUGCGAGCGUUAAUCGGAAUUACUGGGCGUAAAGGGUGCGCAGGCGGUCUUAUAAGUCAGAUGUGAAAUCCCCGAGCUCAACUUGGGAACUGCGUUUGAAACUAUAAGACUAGAGUGUGUCAGAGGGGGGUAGAAUUCCAUGUGUAGCAGUGAAAUGCGUAGAUAUGUGGAGGAAUACCAAUGGCGAAGGCAGCCCCCUGGGAUAACACUGACGCUCAUGCACGAAAGCGUGGGGAGCAAACAGGAUUAGAUACCCUGGUAGUCCACGCCCUAAACGAUGUCUACUAGUUGUUGGUGGAGUAAAAUCCAUGAGUAACGCAGCUAACGCGUGAAGUAGACCGCCUGGGGAGUAC